This 406-nucleotide ribosomal RNA is filed under the name uncultured bacterium. Its description in RNAcentral is "bacterial SSU rRNA". It matches the Rfam family "Bacterial small subunit ribosomal RNA", at positions 355 to 773 of the family's 1533-position model. The record is from RNAcentral.
UGGGGAAUAUUGCACAAUGGGCGCAAGCCUGAUGCAGCAACGCCGCGUGAGGGAUGACGGCCUUCGGGUUGUAAACCUCUUUCAGUAGGGAAGAUGCGAAAGUGACGGUAUCUGCAGAAAAAGCACCGGCUAACUACGUGCCGGCAGCCGCGGUAAUACGUAGGGUGCGAGCGUUGUCCGGAAUUAUUGGGCGUAAAGCGCUCGUAGGCGGUCCGUCGCGUCUGCCGUGAAAACCCGAGGCUCAACCUCGUGCCUGCAGUGGGUACGGGCAGACUAGAGUGCGGUAGGGUAGAAUGGAAUUCCUGGUGUAGCGGUGGAAUGCGCAGAUAUCAGGAGGAAAACCUAUGGCGAAGGCAGUUCUCUGGGCCGUAACUGACGCUGAGGAGCGAAAGCGUGGGGAGCGAAC